This 330-nucleotide ribosomal RNA is filed under the name uncultured eukaryote. RNAcentral's name for it is "partial 18S ribosomal RNA". It matches the Rfam family "Eukaryotic small subunit ribosomal RNA", at positions 1470 to 1796 of the family's 1831-position model. The record is from RNAcentral.
CCCUUAGAUGUUCGGGGCCGCACGCGCGCUACACUGAAGGAAUCAGCGCGUCUUUCUCCUUGUCCGAAGGGACUGGGUAACCCGCUGAACCUCCUUCGUGCUAGGGAUUGGGGCUUGUAAUUCUUCCCCAUGAACGAGGAAUUCCCAGUAAGCGCGAGUCAUAAGCUCGCGUUGAUUACGUCCCUGCCCUUUGUACACACCGCCCGUCGCUACUACCGAUUGGAUGGUUUAGUGAGAUCCUCGGAUUGGUCCCGGCGCGGCCUCUGGUCGUGCCGGAGUGCCGAAAAGAAUGUCGAACUUGAUCAUCUAGAGGAAGUAAAAGUCGUAACA